UUAUCGAAUAUUGAAAAAUUC
RNAcentral lists this non-coding RNA (21 nucleotides) under Caenorhabditis elegans. The record is from RNAcentral. Lineage: Eukaryota; Metazoa; Nematoda; Chromadorea; Rhabditida; Rhabditidae.